UACAGAGGGGGCAAGCGUUGUUCGGAAUUACUGGGCGUAAAGCGCGUGUAGGCGGUUGCCCAAGUCGGGUGUGAAAGCCUUGAGCUCAACUCAAGAAAUGCACUCGGUACUGGGUGACUAGAGGACCGGAGAGGAUAGUGGAAUUCCCAGUGUAGUGGUGAAAUACGUAGAGAUUGGGAAGAACACCAGUGGCGAAGGCGGCUAUCUGGACGGUUUCUGACGCUAAGACGCGAAAGCGUGGGGAGCAAACAGGA
This 254-nucleotide ribosomal RNA is filed under the name uncultured prokaryote. Its description in RNAcentral is "partial 16S ribosomal RNA". It matches the Rfam family "Bacterial small subunit ribosomal RNA", at positions 524 to 777 of the family's 1533-position model. The record is from RNAcentral.